RNAcentral lists this transfer RNA (70 nucleotides) under Salmo salar (Atlantic salmon). It matches the Rfam family "tRNA". From Rfam's summary of the family: Transfer RNA (tRNA) molecules are approximately 80 nucleotides in length. Their secondary structure includes four short double-helical elements and three loops (D, anti-codon, and T loops). RNAcentral also lists the same sequence under 1 other name. Lineage: Eukaryota; Metazoa; Chordata; Actinopteri; Salmoniformes; Salmonidae. The record is from Rfam by way of RNAcentral.
UCCCUUGUGGCUCAGUUGGUAGAGCAUGGUGUUUGCAACGCCAGGGUUGUGGGUUUGAUUCCCACGGGAG